CAAGACCUUCCAAAGGAUUCAGACAAUCAAUGGUGAAAAUGGCUGUGUUCAUUACUUGAAACAAACUUGAAUGUUUUAGAAAAUUAUCUCGAGAACUUGCAUUAGUAGUGAAGAUUCCUAAAGGAAAAUCAAUAAUAGUUGAGGAGUAACUGUUGGAAAAUGUUUCAAAAUCAUACCAUUUCGUUUUGGUGGACUUUAGCACUGAGCUCAAACUUUCUUUUUUGGCAUUCAGUACUGUACAUUUUUGCAUGGUUUUGGGAUCAAA
This is a non-coding RNA of Schizosaccharomyces pombe (fission yeast), 265 nucleotides long. The record is from the annotation of a GenBank genome assembly. Lineage: Eukaryota; Fungi; Ascomycota; Schizosaccharomycetes; Schizosaccharomycetales; Schizosaccharomycetaceae.